This 30-nucleotide non-coding RNA is filed under the name Mus musculus (house mouse). The record is from RNAcentral. Lineage: Eukaryota; Metazoa; Chordata; Mammalia; Rodentia; Muridae.
UGCUAUGGAUGACCAGNAUUUUUGUGUGGA